UACCAGCACCCCGAGUGGUCGGGACGUUUUAUUGGGCCUAAAGCAUCCGUAGCCGGUUCUACAAGUCUUCCGUUAAAUCCACCUGCUUAACAGAUGGGCUGCGGAAGAUACUAUGGAGCUAGGAGGCGGGAGAGGCAAGCGGUACUCGAUGGGUAGGGGUAAAAAUCCGUUGAUCCAUUGAAGACCACCAGUGGCGAAGGCGGCUUGCCAGAACGCGCUCGACGGUGAGGGAUGAAAGCUGGGGGAGCAAACCGG
This 255-nucleotide ribosomal RNA is filed under the name uncultured bacterium. RNAcentral describes it as "partial 16S ribosomal RNA". It matches the Rfam family "Archaeal small subunit ribosomal RNA", at positions 474 to 727 of the family's 1478-position model. The record is from RNAcentral.